CAGUAGCCGCGGUAAUACGUAGGGAGCAAGCGUUGUUCGGAUUUACUGGCGUAAAGGGCGCGUAGGCGGCGCGGUAAGUCACUUGUGAAAUCUCUGAGCUUAACUCAGAACGGCCAAGUGAUACUGCUGUGCUAGAGUGCGGAAGAGGCAACCGGAAUUCUUGGUGUAGCGGUGAAAUGCGUAGAUAUCAAGAGGAACACCUGAGGCGAAGGCGGGUUGCUGGGCCGACACUGACGCUGAUGCGCGAAAGCCAGGGGAGCAAACGGGAUUAGAUACCCCCGUAGUCCCUGUCUCUUAUACA
Molecule: ribosomal RNA, 301 nt
Filed under: uncultured bacterium
Lineage: Bacteria
Description: partial 16S ribosomal RNA
Rfam family: Bacterial small subunit ribosomal RNA
Source: RNAcentral